GAUGAACGCUGGCGGCGUGCCUAAUACAUGCAAGUCGAGCGAACAGACGAGGAGCUUGCUCCUCUGACGUUAGCGGCGGACGGGUGAGUAACACGUGGAUAACCUACCUAUAAGACUGGGAUAACUUCGGGAAACCGGAGCUAAUACCGGAUAAUAUAUUGAACCGCAUGGUUCAAUAGCGAAAGACGGUUUUGCUGUCACUUAUAGAUGGAUCCGCGCCGCAUUAGCUAGUUGGUAAGGUAACGGCUUACCAAGGCAACGAUGCGUAGCCGACCCGAGAGGGGGGAUCGGCAGCCGGGAACUGAGGACCGGUCCCGACUCCUACGGGGAGGCACCGUAGGGAAUCCUACGGAAGGGGGCAAAGGCCUACGGAGGACACGCGGCGUAGGUAUGAAGGAUCUCCGAUCCGUAAACUCUGUUAUUAGGGAAGAACAAAUGUGUAAGUAACUAUGCACGUCUUGACGGUACCUAAUCAGAAAGCCACGGCUAACUACGUG
RNAcentral lists this ribosomal RNA (497 nucleotides) under uncultured bacterium. Its description in RNAcentral is "partial 16S ribosomal RNA". It matches the Rfam family "Bacterial small subunit ribosomal RNA", at positions 28 to 507 of the family's 1533-position model. The record is from RNAcentral.